GCCGCGGUAGAGAAAUGGUAACUCAUCAGACUUCUAAUCUGAAGACUGCAGGUUCGAGUCCUGCUCGUGGCU
This 72-nucleotide transfer RNA is filed under the name Neurospora africana FGSC 1740. RNAcentral describes it as "tRNA-Arg (TCT) (tRNA-Arg-TCT-1-1)". It matches the Rfam family "tRNA". From Rfam's summary of the family: Transfer RNA (tRNA) molecules are approximately 80 nucleotides in length. The record is from RNAcentral. Lineage: Eukaryota; Fungi; Ascomycota; Sordariomycetes; Sordariales; Sordariaceae.